Molecule: transfer RNA, 73 nt
Filed under: Ixodes scapularis (black-legged tick)
Lineage: Eukaryota; Metazoa; Arthropoda; Arachnida; Ixodida; Ixodidae
Description: tRNA-Phe
Source: RNAcentral
AGCUGGUUAGCUCACUUGGUAGAGCACUCCACCAAAAAUGGACAGGUCCCUGGUUCGAUACCAGGACCAGGCG